This 804-nucleotide ribosomal RNA is filed under the name uncultured bacterium. RNAcentral's name for it is "bacterial SSU rRNA". It matches the Rfam family "Bacterial small subunit ribosomal RNA", at positions 8 to 813 of the family's 1533-position model. The record is from RNAcentral.
AGAGUUUGAUUCUGGCUCAGGAUGAACGCUGGCGGCGUGCCUAACACAUGCAAGUCGAACGGAGCUGCUUUGAUGAAGUUUUCGGAUGGAUUUAAAACAGCUUAGUGGCGGACGGGUGAGUAACGCGUGGGUAACCUGCCUCACACUGGGGGAUAACAGUUAGAAAUAGCUGCUAAUACCGCAUAAGCGCACGGUUCCGCAUGGAACAGUGUGAAAAAUUCCGGUGGUGUGAGAUGGACCCGCGUCUGAUUAGCCAGUUGGCGGGGUAACGGCCCACCAAAGCGACGAUCAGUAGCCGGCCUGAGAGGGUGAACGGCCACAUUGGGACUGAGACACGGCCCAAACUCCUACGGGAGGCAGCAGUGGGGAAUAUUGCACAAUGGGGGAAACCCUGAUGCAGCGACGCCGCGUGAGUGAAGAAGUAUUUCGGUAUGUAAAGCUCUAUCAGCAGGGAAGAAAGUGACGGUACCUGAACAAGAAGCCCCGGCUAACUACGUGCCAGCAGCCGCGGUAAUACGUAGGGGGCAAGCGUUAUCCGGAUUUACUGGGUGUAAAGGGAGCGUAGACGGCAAGGCAAGUCUGAAGUGAAAGCCCGGUGCUUAACGCCGGGACUGCUUUGGAAACUGUUUAGCUGGAGUGCCGGAGAGGUAAGCGGAAUUCCUAGUGUAGCGGUAAAAUGCGUAGAUAUUAGGAAGAACACCAGUGGCGAAGGCGGCUUACUGGACGGUAACUGACGUUGAGGCUCGAAAGCGUGGGGAGCAAACAGGAUUAGAUACCCUGGUAGUCCACGCCGUAAACGAUGAU